This is a long non-coding RNA of Camelus dromedarius (Arabian camel), 1026 nucleotides long. RefSeq lists it as uncharacterized. The transcript is spliced from 3 exons. The record is from RefSeq and is a predicted model, not a curated record. NCBI's taxonomy places the organism in Eukaryota, Metazoa, Chordata, Mammalia, Artiodactyla, Camelidae.
CCCAGCCGGUGCCGAGCGCCGGACUGAGGGGAGCGCUAGACCCGGGUAGCGUCCGGCUGGGGAACACUGGGCCGAGGCUCACUCGCCAUAUGAAUACAGGCAACCGCCGCUUUGAACAAUGAAAUCUCGGUGGUCUUGUCCUCGGUCGACCACCUCUUGGAAGUUCGCUGAAUUCUAGAAGUCUGAGGAGUUCUGUACCACAGAAGGACGGACGGCCUCCACCGUGGGAAUUACGGUCAUUUAAGCAAAACGUAAGUGAAGAGUCUAACCCCCAGGAGGACUUCAUAAGAGCAGUAUCGCCACCUGUGUCUUGGUACCAGCAUAUCCAGCUGGACUACACACAUUACAGAAUAUCCUCUGAUUCAACAGAAAUCUGGAAGAGUUUACAGUCUGGCCCAGAGAAGAUAGUUUUAAAUCUACAGUUUUAAACUGGGGUUGAAAAGGAGCCCAGGUUGGAUUCUGCCAGCAGGUCUGUCUGCUGCUAUUGCUUUUUGAUGUCAGUGUCUAGGUCUUUCUUGUCUCCAACCAUGUUUCAGCCUGUCCUUGAAGGCUUUCUUCAUCCCUCUUACUGAGCCUGCCACAGAUUCAGUAUCUACCAUCAGAGCUCCCCUCUCACUGUACUUAUACCCUGAGCUGAUGCCUUUGGAGUGUGUCUAUACUAAAGCCUAGCUAUUGAAGACUUCAAUUAGCAAGCCGCAGAGCACACAAGUGCCUGCAGAUCCAAGAGCAGAAGCAUACCCCAUAAAAUAAAAAGCUUGAGAUAUCAUUUGUUAGCACAUGCUCAAGCCCUCUACCCAACAAAUGACUUCCCUUACACUAACACCUAGUCCCUUCUCCCUGAUGAUUCACUUGGGAAACAGAUCAUCAAAGAAGAAUAUGGCCUUUGCACUAACAAGGACUGGGAUGUCUUGUAUGCAACCACUGCCAACCAAGCUUUCCACAGUGUCAGUUAAAGAGCCUUCUGCACUCAUUCUCCUAUUUUGAAAGGAGAGAAAAAGAGGUGAUGAUCUGGUCCCUCCAGAUGUG